This 130-nucleotide small nucleolar RNA is filed under the name Catagonus wagneri (Chacoan peccary). RNAcentral's name for it is "Small nucleolar RNA SNORA20 (ENSCWAG00000009184.1)". It matches the Rfam family "Small nucleolar RNA SNORA20". Rfam says of the family: ACA20 is a member of the H/ACA class of snoRNA that guide the sites of modification of uridines to pseudouridines. The record is from Rfam by way of RNAcentral. Lineage: Eukaryota; Metazoa; Chordata; Mammalia; Artiodactyla; Tayassuidae.
UUUCCCAUUUAUUUGCUGCUGUGGUCUUUCAGUGAUAUAAGAAGUUAUACGCAUGGGAUAAAAUAACAUUGGACCAGUGUAAAUUGAGGUGGGGUAACAAUUUCAUCUCUUCUGCAUGGUCUAGACAUUG